Molecule: ribosomal RNA, 498 nt
Filed under: uncultured bacterium
Lineage: Bacteria
Description: partial 16S ribosomal RNA
Rfam family: Bacterial small subunit ribosomal RNA
Source: RNAcentral
AUUGAACGCUGGCGGCAUGCCUUACACAUGCAAGUCGAACGGUAACAGGUCUUCGGAUGCUGACGAGUGGCGAACGGGUGAGUAAUACAUCGGAACGUGCCUAGUAGUGGGGGAUAACUACUCGAAAGAGUGGCUAAUACCGCAUGAGAUCUACGGAUGAAAGCAGGGGAUCGCAAGACCUUGUGCUACUAGAGCGGCCGGUGGCAGAUUAGGUAGUUGGUGGGAUAAAAGCUUACCAAGCCGACGAUCUGUAGCUGGUCUGAGAGGACGAUCAGCCUCACUGUGACGGAGACACGGCCCAGACUCCGACGGGAGGCAUCAGUGGGGAAGUUUGGACAAUGGGCGCAAGCCUGAUCCAGCAAUGCCGAGUGCAGGAUGAAGGCCUUCGGGUUGUAAACUGCUUUUGUACGGAACGAAAAGCCCCGGGUUAAUACCCUGGGGUCAUGACGGUACCGUAAGAAUAAGCACCGGCUAACUACGUGCCAGCCGCCGCAGUAA